ACCUGGCUGGCUCAGUCAGUAGAGCAUGUGACUCUUAAUCUUAGGGUUGUAAGUUCGAACUUCAUGUUGAGUG
This 73-nucleotide transfer RNA is filed under the name Felis catus (domestic cat). It matches the Rfam family "tRNA". Rfam says of the family: Transfer RNA (tRNA) molecules are approximately 80 nucleotides in length. Their secondary structure includes four short double-helical elements and three loops (D, anti-codon, and T loops). Further hydrogen bonds mediate the characteristic L-shaped molecular structure. tRNAs have two regions of fundamental functional importance: the anti-codon, which is responsible for specific mRNA codon recognition, and the 3' end, to which the tRNAs corresponding amino acid is attached (by aminoacyl-tRNA synthetases). tRNAs cope with the degeneracy of the genetic code in two manners: having more than one tRNA (with a specific anti-codon) for a particular amino acid; and 'wobble' base-pairing, i.e. permitting non-standard base-pairing at the 3rd anti-codon position. RNAcentral also lists the same sequence under 2 other names. Lineage: Eukaryota; Metazoa; Chordata; Mammalia; Carnivora; Felidae. The record is from Rfam by way of RNAcentral.